RNAcentral lists this ribosomal RNA (468 nucleotides) under uncultured bacterium. RNAcentral's name for it is "partial 16S ribosomal RNA". It matches the Rfam family "Bacterial small subunit ribosomal RNA", at positions 28 to 507 of the family's 1533-position model. The record is from RNAcentral.
GACGAACGCUGGCGGCGUGCUUAACACAUGCAAGUCGAACGGAAAGGCCCUGCUUUUGUGGGGUGCUCGAGUGGCGAACGGGUGAGUAACACGUGAGUAACCUGCCCUUGACUUUGGGAUAACUUCAGGCAACUGGGGCUAAUACCGGAUAGGAGCUCCUGCUUCAUGGUGGGGGUUGGAAAGUUUCGGCGGUUGGGGAUGGACUCGCGGCUUAUCAGCUUGUUGGUGGGGUAGUGGCUUACCAAGGCUUUGACGGGUAGCCGGCCUGAGAGGGUGACCGGCCACAUUGGGACUGAGAUACGGCCCAGACUCCUACGGGAGGCAGCAGUGGGGAAUAUUGCACUAUAGGCGGAAGCCUGAUGCAGCCACGCCGCGUGCGGGAUGACGGCCUUCGGGUUGUAAACCGCUUUCGCCUGUGACGAAGCGUGAGUGACGGUAAUGGGUAAAGAAGCACCGGCUAACUACGUG